This 253-nucleotide ribosomal RNA is filed under the name uncultured bacterium. RNAcentral describes it as "partial 16S ribosomal RNA". It matches the Rfam family "Bacterial small subunit ribosomal RNA", at positions 524 to 776 of the family's 1533-position model. The record is from RNAcentral.
UACGUAGGGUGCAAGCGUUGUCCGGAAUUAUUGGGCGUAAAGAGCUCGUAGGCGGUCUGUCGCGUCGGCUGUGAAAUCCCGAGGCUCAACCUCGGGUCUGCAGUCGAUACGGGCAAACUAGAGUAUUGCAGGGGAGACUGGAAUUCCUGGUGUAGCGGUGAAAUGCGCAGAUAUCAGGAAGAACACCCGUGGCUAAGGCGGUUCUCUAGUACGGUACUGACGCUGAGACGCGAAAGCGUGGGGAGCGAACAGG